AAGAAAUUAUAGAACUACUAAAAAAUAUUUUAGUCUUGUUAAAAUGUGUGUUUUUUUUCUUUUAAAGGAUCAAGGCUGACAUGGCUUUCUCACUGAAGUACUAUGAGAGUCAUCUGCAGAGUUGGAGGUGGUGGGUUUCAACAGGCUUUUGAAAAUUAUCACAAGGGGCUCUCAGGUAAAGGCACAUACAGGAGAAGGAAGAGGUUGUUUUGCACUAAAAUACAUAAGUACAAUUUAAAAAUUGAGCUGCCUUCUAGGAAUGGAAAGACUCAGUCAUGGGCUUGGGCUCCCCAGUGGCAUUAGGAACACUAUGCGCCUACCUGCUCACAGAACUCUGUUUCAGUGGGUGGGGCAAGGAGAAAAUAUUUCCUUUAGGCAUACUAACACAAAAUCAAACCUGUUCUUGCAGUGAGCUUCAAAUGCUAGUAAGAGAAUGUGAUGACUGCAGUGGCAGAAGGCAGGAAAGCAGUUGGAAAAAGGCUGUCUAAAGAGACUAUAAGUAGCAGUUUCCCUAAAUAUACACAUGAUUCACCAUGUUCCAUGGAUGGGCUCUCAGGUAUGAUCUGCUCGCUGUCUACAUCAAGCAACUCUUCAGUCAUGAGUCAGAGAAAAUUUCUCUAAAUGAAAGUAUGGGCAGUGUCUAUGAAAGGGUCUAUGGACACUUCAGCUUUAUAGAGGUAUGGGCGCUGAGUCAUUUUGAUCAACAUGAAAGAAACACGUCUGCAGGUUGUGAGAGCUACCUUCAUGUGUUUUUGUAUUCAGGAUUCUCACUUGUCCCAGCCUAGUUUGUCAAGAAUGCCAACACUGAAGAUCAAAUAGCUUUAAGCUUAAAUAAACACAUUUCUUUACUUAAGUGAAUCGCAACUGAAUUAAGUUGAACUUUUUAAUUUGUUGUUAAGUCAUGUAAAAUGAGUUGCACUGGGCAUCUGAAAACUAAUUUUCUUUUUAUUUCUCUGUCAUAGAGAGAAGGCAUUUUGGUUGUAUUUGCUGUCAGUAUUAAUAACUGGACUAAUGGGACAAGGCACAUGGAGAUACUUUUACCUAGGGUCACCAAAGGGUAUAUUUUAACAAUGAGUAAUUGGUCUUUGCUCUCCAGACCUCAUAGCUGAUUUUCCUUUAGCUUCUGUGUCAUUCCUCAUCCCUUCUCCAUGUGUAAGGGUUUCAGUUUUCCUUCUUGCAUCAUCUGUUUUAAAGAGUUACAAGAUCAAGUAAUUCACAUUUUAAAACCCCCACUUUAUGCUAAUUAUAUCUUAAAAAUUCAGGAUAAUAUCAACAGAAAAGGAAUAAAUUACUAAUAUCUGAGUUUCAAGCAUUCAUGAUUGGGCAAGUGGGAGAUAAUUUGUAACAGAAUAUUUCACUGGCACCCUCAUAUUAUAUCACUUACUGUUUCACAAUAAUUUCCCUACCUCCACCACAGACCAUAAAGCAGAGGCAUGAAGAAGCCCUUCCUUUGUGAUGCUCAUGUCUAAGAUGAACCACAG
RNAcentral lists this long non-coding RNA (1481 nucleotides) under Ovis aries (sheep). RNAcentral's name for it is "lncRNA (ENSOARG00000025259.1)". The record is from RNAcentral. Lineage: Eukaryota; Metazoa; Chordata; Mammalia; Artiodactyla; Bovidae.